GAUGAACGCUAGCGAUAGGCUUAACACAUGCAAGUCGAGGGGCAGCACAAGGUAGCUUGCUAUCUGGGUGGCGACCGGCGCACGGGUGCGUAACGCGUAUGCAACUUGCCCUAUACAGGAGGAUAACCCGUCGAAAGACGGACUAAUACUGCGUAUGCUCACAACUUGGCAUCAAGUGGUGAGGAAAGAAAUUCGGUAUAGGAUAGGCAUGCGUCCCAUUAGCUUGUUGGUGAGGUAACGGCUCACCAAGGCAACGAUGGGUAGGGGAACUGAGAGGUUUAUCCCCCACACUGGUACUGAGACACGGACCAGACUCCUACGGGAGGCAGCAGUGAGGAAUAUUGGUCAAUGGGCGCGAGCCUGAACCAGCCAAGUCGCGUGAAGGAUGACUGUCUUAUGGAUUGAAAACUUCUUUUAUACGGGAAUAACAAGAGUCACGUGUGACUCCCUGCAUGUACCGUAUGAAUAAGCAUCGGCUAACUCCGUG
RNAcentral lists this ribosomal RNA (487 nucleotides) under uncultured bacterium. Its description in RNAcentral is "partial 16S ribosomal RNA". It matches the Rfam family "Bacterial small subunit ribosomal RNA", at positions 28 to 507 of the family's 1533-position model. The record is from RNAcentral.